AGCAUGUGGUUUAAUUCGAUGAUACGCGAGGAACCUUACCUGGGCUCAAAUGUAUGUUGACGUAUUCUGAAAGGGAUACUUCUUCGGACAAUAUACAAGGUGCUGCAUGGUUGUCGUCAGCUCGUGUCGUGAGAUGUUGGGUUAAGUCCCGUAACGAGCGCAACCCUUGUCCUUAGUUACCAGCACGUUAUGGUGGGCACUCUAAGGAGACUGCCGGUGACAAACCGGAGGAAGGUGGGGAUGACGUCAAGUCAUCAUGGCCCUUACGGCCUGGGCUACACACGUGCUACAAUGGUCGGUACAAAGGGUUGCCAAGCCGCGAGGUGGAGCUAAUCCCAUAAAACCGAUCGUAGUCCGGAUCGCAGUCUGCAACUCGACUGCGUGAAGUCGGAAUCGCUAGUAAUCGUGAAUCAGAAUGUCACGGUGAAUACGUUCCCGGGCCUU
This 444-nucleotide ribosomal RNA is filed under the name uncultured Pseudomonas sp. RNAcentral describes it as "bacterial SSU rRNA". It matches the Rfam family "Bacterial small subunit ribosomal RNA", at positions 936 to 1382 of the family's 1533-position model. The record is from RNAcentral. Lineage: Bacteria; Pseudomonadati; Pseudomonadota; Gammaproteobacteria; Pseudomonadales; Pseudomonadaceae.